This 253-nucleotide ribosomal RNA is filed under the name uncultured bacterium. RNAcentral's name for it is "partial 16S ribosomal RNA". It matches the Rfam family "Bacterial small subunit ribosomal RNA", at positions 524 to 776 of the family's 1533-position model. The record is from RNAcentral.
UACAGAGGUCUCAAGCGUUGUCCGGAAUCAUUGGGCGUAAAGCGCGUGUAGGCGGUCCGGUAAGUCCGCUGUGAAAGUCGGGGGCUCAACCCUCGAAUGCCGGUGGAUACUGUCGGGCUAGAGUGCGGAAGAGGCAAGUGGAAUUCCUGGUGUAGCGGUGGAAUGCGCAGAUAUCAGGAGGAACACCCAUAGCGAAGGCAGCUUGCUGGGACGUUACUGACGCUAAGGCGCGAAAGCGUGGGGAGCGAACAGG